UACGUAGGUGACAAGCGUUGUCCGGAUUUACUGGGCGUAAAGAGCGCACAGGCGGUCGUUCAAGUCGAGUGUGAAAGCCCCCGGCUCAACUGGGGAGGGUCAUUCGAUACUGAUCGACUCGAAGGCAGGAGAGGGUAGUGGAAUUCCCGGUGUAGUGGUGAAAUGCGUAGAUAUCGGGAGGAACACCAGUGGCGAAGGCGACUACCUGGCCUGUUCUUGACGCUGAGGCGCGAAAGCUAGGGGAGCAAACGGG
RNAcentral lists this ribosomal RNA (253 nucleotides) under uncultured bacterium. RNAcentral's name for it is "partial 16S ribosomal RNA". It matches the Rfam family "Bacterial small subunit ribosomal RNA", at positions 524 to 776 of the family's 1533-position model. The record is from RNAcentral.